Molecule: RNase P RNA, 263 nt
Filed under: Anaerolineae bacterium
Lineage: Bacteria; Bacillati; Chloroflexota; Anaerolineae
Description: partial RNase P RNA component class A
Rfam family: Bacterial RNase P class A
About the family: Ribonuclease P (RNase P) is a ubiquitous endoribonuclease, found in archaea, bacteria and eukarya as well as chloroplasts and mitochondria. Its best characterised activity is the generation of mature 5'-ends of tRNAs by cleaving the 5'-leader elements of precursor-tRNAs. Cellular RNase Ps are ribonucleoproteins.
Source: RNAcentral
GAAGGAGAUCAGAUGAUCGCUGGCGCCCUUUCCGAGCCGCUAUGCGGCUUGGAGGGUGCCAGAGGAAAGUCCGAGCUCCACAGAGCAGGGUGCUGGAUAACGUCCAGUGGGGGUGACCCUAAGGAAAGUGCCACAGAGAACAGACCGCCCCGGGGAUGCAGCGUCCCCGAGGUAAGGGUGAAACGGUGAGGUAAGAGCUCACCAGCAGCCCGGGUGACCGGGCUGGCUCGGCAAACCCCACCUGGAGCAAGACCAAAUAGCAA